Molecule: ribosomal RNA, 468 nt
Filed under: uncultured bacterium
Lineage: Bacteria
Description: partial 16S ribosomal RNA
Rfam family: Bacterial small subunit ribosomal RNA
Source: RNAcentral
GACGAACGCUGGCGGCGUGCUUAACACAUGCAAGUCGAACGGAAAGGCCCUGCUUUUGUGGGGUGCUCGAGUGGCGAACGGGUGAGUAACACGUGAGUAACCUGCCCUUGACUUUGGGAUAACUUCAGGAAACUGGGGCUAAUACCGGAUAGGAGCUCCUGCUGCAUGGUGGGGGUUGGAAAGUUUCGGCGGUUGGGGAUGGACUCGCGGCUUAUCAGCUUGUUGGUGGGGUAGUGGCUUACCAAGGCUUUGACGGGUAGCCGGCCUGAGAGGGUGACCGGCCACAUUGGGACUGAGAUACGGCCCAGACUCCUACGGGGGGCAGCAGUGGGGAAUAUUGCACAUUGGGCGGAAGCCUGAUGCAGCAACGCCGCGUGCGGGAUGACGGCCUUCGGGUUGUAAACCGCUUUCGCCUGUGACGAAGCGUGAGUGACGGUAAUGGGUAAAGAAGCACCGGCUAACUACGUG